UGGGGGGUGCAAUCUGCCCGGUGCACUGAGAGUGUAAACGGCCGCGGUACCCUGACCGUGCGAAGGUAGCAUAAUAACUUGCCUAAUAAUUGCAGGCUAGAAUGAAAGAUCAGACGAGAGGCUAGCUGUCUCCCCCACAACGAUAAAACCUAACCUCCGGGUGAAGAGGCCCCUAUCCCACCAAAGGACGAAAAGACCCUGUCGAGCUUAAGUGGUACGGUCCGCUAGCUACCCUCCCAGAAACCCCCACUUUUGUCGGGAAAAUAAAGGAUAAACAACAACAUCCUUAAAAAAAUUUCCAAUAAGAAAACAACCCCCGCCUAGCGCAACCAAACAAGCUACCGCAGGGAUAACAGCGUAAUUUCUUUUGAGAGCCCACAUUGACAAAGAAGAUUGCGACCUCGAUGUUGGACUAAGAAACCUAUUAGGAGCACAAACCUAAUGAAGGGGGUCUGUUCG
RNAcentral lists this ribosomal RNA (459 nucleotides) under Notosaria nigricans. RNAcentral's name for it is "partial 16S large subunit ribosomal RNA". It matches the Rfam family "Bacterial large subunit ribosomal RNA", at positions 1846 to 2583 of the family's 2925-position model. Lineage: Eukaryota; Metazoa; Brachiopoda; Rhynchonellata; Rhynchonellida; Hemithyrididae. The record is from RNAcentral.